Vigna unguiculata (cowpea) is the source of this 2447-nucleotide long non-coding RNA. RefSeq lists it as uncharacterized. Lineage: Eukaryota; Viridiplantae; Streptophyta; Magnoliopsida; Fabales; Fabaceae. The record is from RefSeq and is a predicted model, not a curated record.
GACUUGUGACAAGCUGUUUGGGUUAAAAAUCUCAGGCCCCGCACCCAACUAAGCCUUUCAUUUCUUGUUCCCAUCUCCCAUUCCUCCCUUUAAAAACACUCUCAAUUCCCUCUUUUCUUAUGCAUCACUUGCGAAUUCCACUCCAAAAAUUCACCACCUCUUUCUUUAACCUUUCUGCUUCUUCAAUAAUUUCUCUUCCUUUUCUUCUCAGUCACACAUGAUCAUCACAAUUCAAGGUGCAUGUUGAGCAAGAUGGAGAAGCAGGGCACGUGCAACACUAACUCAUCAACACAACACAAAAGGGGUGUGGACUUAGAAAAUUGUCACAUUCUUUUCUGCUAGAGAUUGCUGCAGCGAGUUAGUCCUUCAUGUGCCCCUCUUCCCCAUCAUGACAACAGCACCUUAUCUUGCAUUUGGAAGUGUUCAAGAUGGAAAUUUGAUUGGCUUCUGUUCACAAUUCAGCAUCAAAUUCAAUUUUUUUUUAUAUAGGGUUCAUACAGAAGUGCCAGGUUUAUCCUCCUCAAAAGAAAAAGUUCAUCUGUUGUGCGCACUUGGGAACUAUAUAUUGACAUAGUGGCAUGCUUUUUCAUGGCAUAAACAUUGAUUACACAAAUUGCCAUAUAAUUUUUACACCGAAGUUUAUGUUCAUAUAACUUCUUUUGAUCGUUUUGCAUGCCAUCGUCACGAUGUCAAAAAGGAAGCCUUCGAACAAGACAAAAAAAGAGGUAAAGGAGUUUCGAACUUUUGAAAUAUUCAUAUAGGAAGCGAAGGGGUAAAUAAAAAAUGCAGGUAUUCCAUUCUCCACUAGUUAUUGUGUUAAUUUCUGCAAUAUGACAAAUAUGCAUGGCUAGUUUUUGCAGUAGCUACCUAGGUUUAUAUAUCAAGCCUCAGUUUCUCCUUGCUUAUUGUGUUGGUGGUGCUUAAUUGUUCUCUUUGGUAUCAUCUAUGGUUCAAAUUACUCAACUUUCAAACUUGAUAUGAAAUUGUGGUUGAUAUUGUUGCUAUUGUACUCAUCAGCUGUGAAUUUUCAGAAUUUUGCAGUAUUAAAAAUCUGUCAUAAAUUCAGUCACGGAAUUAGGUGAUCUUCACUAUUAUAUCAUCAUAUAUAGUUGUUGAUUAUUGUCCUAAAGUCUUGAGACAAAUAUAAAAACUCCACCAUGGGAGAACAUAUAGGGAAGACGUUUUUGGUAAUAGAAGCCAAAUACUUACCAAAAUUACAUAAAAUAUAACUUGUGUGAUACACAUAAAAGAAGUAUUCAUAGAUGUUAACUGAGACUAAUAUCUUUGUAGAAACCUAAAAGCAUUAAAAGGUGAGCUACCUCAUCACACAACUAGGUUUCCUUCUCUCAUUAUACACAUAUAUCAGUAUGAAUGGUAGCAACUUGAUAUGAGUUUAUGUUCAGAAGAAGAGAAAAGAGAGAAAUGAGUUGAUUAUAUUGUGACAAUAAUUGAUGGUGAUGUUUAAGAAGAAAAAAAGGGAAGUGAAGUGAAAAGAAGAAUGCGUCCAAGAGACAGCACAUGAAAAUGGCAUAGUGAUGAGUCCCCAUAUGAUGCUUUCCGUACAGAUACUUAAAGGAUCUCUCUUUAAUUAAGCACACAAAAAAGGGUUUUGAGGAGUUUGGAAAUAUGUGGUGUGGUAUUUAUGAUUUGUUUGAAUGGCAGUGUUGGUUUUGUUUGCAUAUAUAGCAUCUAAACAAAGAUGGGGUCGUGGAUACAGCUGAGAUGGGAUAAGACUUGAGAGUUUUUUUUUUACCUCUUCUUGAUUCAGAUGCCAAUUAAUUAUGAUCAUCAAUGCAUCAUUAAUUAACUCAUCACUCAUCACAGUUUGGAACACAAUAUAGGACCAUUCCAUUUCCAUUAAAAACCAAAUAUUGAUUUUCCUAUCAGUGACAGUGAUGAACAAAAUUGGUUUCUUUUCCUAUCACUACCUCGCCCUACACACCAAUUGUCUAUAGCAGGAGUCCUCAUAUUUUAAGAUACGUGGGCCGUUCUCAUAAAGUGCUUUCGAAUUUGCACCGACACAACUCUAAUUUCAAAUGGGAUACUAUUACUAGUUUCUUUCUUUUUCUACAUCUUAAUUUUAUUUGUUCUACAGCUAUAAAAUUGCUUUAAUGAUUAAAGUUGAAAAACAAAGAGUGUCUGAUGACAUUUGAGACAUAUAAGGUUGAUUUGAAAAAUUUAGAAGAAUAAACGAGAAAGAAUCAAGAGAUAUAAGAUUGGUUCGAAGAAUUUAGAAGAAAAAACGAGAGAGAUUUGAGACAUAUAAAAUAUAUAAAAUUGAUUUGAAGAAUUUAGAAGAAAAGACGAAAAAAUUGUUGGUUCAAUUCUACACCAAAAUACUACCAAUUAAUAUUUGUAGAUGAAAAAAAAAAAUCUUAAUUUUCUUUCUUUUUUGUAUUUUAGACAUGAUAAAACACUUAAAGUUUAAAAGUAGUUAUAACACUGGG